RNAcentral lists this ribosomal RNA (1379 nucleotides) under uncultured bacterium. Its description in RNAcentral is "bacterial SSU rRNA". It matches the Rfam family "Bacterial small subunit ribosomal RNA". The record is from RNAcentral.
CUGGCUCAGGAUGAACGCUGGCGGCGUGCCUAACACAUGCAAGUCGAACGGGGUAUAUAAGCGGAAGUUUACCCAUGGAAGGUUAUAUACUUAGUGGCGGACGGGUGAGUAACGCGUGGGCAACCUGCCCCGUGCCGGGGGAUACCGCCUGGAAACAGGCGCUAAUACCGCAUAAGCGCAUACAGCCGCAUGGGUGUAUGCGGAAAGCUCCGGCGGCACGGGAUGGGCCCGCGCCCGAUUAGCCAGUUGGCGGGGUAACGGCCCACCAAAGCGACGAUCGGUAGCCGGCCUGAGAGGGCGGACGGCCACAUUGGGACUGAGACACGGCCCAAACUCCUACGGAGGCAGCAGUGGGGAAUAUUGCACAAUGGGGGAAACCCUGAUGCAGCAACGCCGCGUGGGUGAAGGAGCGUUUCGGCGCGUAAAGCCCUGUCAGCGGGGAAGAAGAAAGACGGUACCCGACCAAGAAGCCCCGGCUAACUACGUGCCAGCAGCCGCGGUAAUACGUAGGGGGCGAGCGUUAUCCGGAAUUACUGGGUGUAAAGGGAGCGUAGACGGCGAGGUAAGCCGGAAGUGGAAGCCCGCGGCCCAACCGCGGAACUGCUUUGGGAACUGUUUUGCUGGAGUAUGGGAGGGGUAAGCGGAAUUCCUGGUGUAGCGGUGAAAUGCGUAGAUAUCAGGAGGAACACCGGUGGCGAAGGCGGCUUACUGGACCAUAACUGACGUUGAGGCUCGAAAGCGUGGGGAGCGAACAGGAUUAGAUACCCUGGUAGUCCACGCCGUAAACGAUGAUUACCAGGUGUCGGGUGUCGAAGGACGGCCGGUGCCGCAGCGAACGCAGUAAGUAAUCCACCUGGGGAGUACGUUCGCAAGAAUGAAACUCAAAGGAAUUGACGGGGACCCGCACAAGCGGUGGAGCAUGUGGUUUAAUUCGAAGCAACGCGAAGAACCUUACCCGGCCUUGACAUCCCCCUGACAGUAUCUGUAAUGGAUAUUUCCUUCGGGACAGGGGAGACAGGUGGUGCAUGGUUGUCGUCAGCUCGUGUCGUGAGAUGUUGGGUCAAGUCCCGCAACGAGCGCAACCCCUGCCCCCAGUAGCCAGCAUUUAAGAUGGGCACUCUGGGGGGACUGCCGGGGAUAACCCGGAGGAAGGCGGGGAUGACGUCAAAUCAUCAUGCCCCUUAUGGCCGGGGCUACACACGUGCUACAAUGGCGUAAACAGAGGGAGGCGAGACAGCGAUGUUAAGCGAACCCCAAAAAUAACGUCCCAGUUCGGAUUGCAGCCUGCAACUCGGCUGCAUGAAGCUGGAAUCGCUAGUAAUCGCGGAUCAGAAUGCCGCGGUGAAUACGUUCCCGGGUCUUGCACUCACCGCCCGUCA